GAUGAACGCUGGCGGCGUGCCUAAUACAUGCAAGUCGAGCGAACGGACGAGAAGCUUGCUUCUCUGAUGUUAGCGGCGGACGGGUGAGUAACACGUGGAUAACCUACCUAUAAGACUGGGAUAACUUCGGGAAACCGGAGCUAAUACCGGAUGAUAUGUUGAACCGCAUGGUUCAAAAGUGAAAGACGGUCUUGCUGUCACUUAUAGAUGUAUCCGCGCUGCAUUAGCUAGUUGGUAAGGUAACGGCUUACCAAGGCAACGAUGCAUAGCCGACCUGAGAGGGUGAUCGGCCACACUGGAACUGAGACACGGUCCAGACUCCUACGGGAGGCAGCAGUAGGGAAUCUUCCGCAAUGGGCGAAAGCCUGACGGAGCAACGCCGCGUGUGUGAUGAAGGUCUUCGGAUCGUAAAGCUCUGUUAUUAGGGAGGAAGAUAUGUGUAAGUAACUGUGCACAUCUUGACGGUACCUAAUCAGAAAGCCACGGCUAACUACGUG
RNAcentral lists this ribosomal RNA (497 nucleotides) under uncultured bacterium. RNAcentral describes it as "partial 16S ribosomal RNA". It matches the Rfam family "Bacterial small subunit ribosomal RNA", at positions 28 to 507 of the family's 1533-position model. The record is from RNAcentral.